UCCGGCUUAUCACCGGCAGUCUCCCUAGAGUGCCCAACUAAAUGAUGGCAACUAGGAACGAGGGUUGCGCUCGUUGCGGGACUUAACCCAACAUCUCACGACACGAGCUGACGACAGCCAUGCAGCACCUGUGUCCAAGUCCCCGAAGGGAAGAAAUCCAUCUCUGGAAGUCGUCUUGGCAUGUCAAGGGCUGGUAAGGUUCUUCGCGUUGCUUCGAAUUAAUCCACAUCAUCCACCGCUUGUGCGGGUCCCCGUCAAUUCCUUCGAGUUUUAAUCUUGCGACCGUACUCCCCAGGCGGAUAACUUAAUGCGUUAGCUGCGCCACCAAAACCCUAUGGGCCCUGACAGCUAGUUAUCAUCGUUUACGGCGUGGACUAC
This 378-nucleotide unclassified non-coding RNA is filed under the name uncultured Alphaproteobacteria bacterium. Its description in RNAcentral is "contains 16S-23S intergenic spacer region". The record is from RNAcentral. Lineage: Bacteria; Pseudomonadati; Pseudomonadota; Alphaproteobacteria.